Molecule: non-coding RNA, 45 nt
Organism: Schistosoma mansoni
Lineage: Eukaryota; Metazoa; Platyhelminthes; Trematoda; Strigeidida; Schistosomatidae
Source: Rfam
AUGCAGCUGACGAGUCCCAAAUAGGACAAAACGCGCGUGCUGGAU